RNAcentral lists this transfer RNA (64 nucleotides) under Eleutherocaulis alte. Its description in RNAcentral is "Laevicaulis alte tRNA-Glu". The record is from RNAcentral. Lineage: Eukaryota; Metazoa; Mollusca; Gastropoda; Systellommatophora; Veronicellidae.
CUAAAAUGGUGUAAUAAGCACAUAAUCUUUUCAUGAUUAAAGAAGUAACAAAAUACUUUUUAGA